RNAcentral lists this ribosomal RNA (519 nucleotides) under uncultured bacterium. RNAcentral describes it as "bacterial SSU rRNA". It matches the Rfam family "Bacterial small subunit ribosomal RNA", at positions 501 to 1018 of the family's 1533-position model. The record is from RNAcentral.
CUACGUGCCAGCAGCCGCGGUAAUACGUAGGUCCCGAGCGUUGUCCGGAUUUAUUGGGCGUAAAGCGAGCGCAGGCGGUUUGAUAAGUCUGAAGUUAAAGGCUGUGGCUCAACCAUAGUUCGCUUUGGAAACUGUCAAACUUGAGUGCAGAAGGGGAGAGUGGAAUUCCAUGUGUAGCGGUGAAAUGCGUAGAUAUAUGGAGGAACACCGGUGGCGAAAGCGGCUCUCUGGUCUGUAACUGACGCUGAGGCUCGAAAGCGUGGGGAGCGAACAGGAUUAGAUACCCUGGUAGUCCACGCCGUAAACGAUGAGUGCUAGGUGUUGGAUCCUUUCCGGGAUUCAGUGCCGCAGCUAACGCAUUAAGCACUCCGCCUGGGGAGUACGACCGCAAGGUUGAAACUCAAAGGAAUUGACGGGGGCCCGCACAAGCGGUGGAGCAUGUGGUUUAAUUCGAAGCAACGCGAAGAACCUUACCAGGUCUUGACAUCCCGAUGCUAUUUCUAGAGAUAGAAAGUUACU